CUUAAAAAAAAUCAUAAGAUUAGCUAAAAAACGUGUGUGUGUUGUUUUUGUCUUCUGGCUUUUGAACUGUUAGGUUUUGCAUUUUCAAGCUUUUUCCAUGAUCAUGUGGUCUAAAACUGACUUUUCAUUUUAAAGGAACGCUGAGAUUGUGAUGCAUUCACAUGACUCUAGGAAACGGAGCUUUAAGAAAAAACUACUUUUGUGAGACUUGUGAAAUCUGCAAGAGCUGAAAGCACUGCGGAAUUCAGAGCCUGCCCUGUUCCUGUAUGAGUCACUGGCUUUCCUGAGCCCUUAUAUUUCUGCAGCCGGUCAGCGUCCAUCAGCUGCCUCCUGGCUGCGUCUACCCCUCCUCCUGCAAUGAAGUGUUUAACAGAUCUGUGUAACGUACUCGGAUUCCACUGUCUCAGCUUUCAUUUAAAUAACCAGGUCAACAUGUUCAAACCAGUGUGCCUACUUCAGCUCCUAGGAAAUUAGACAUUUAAUAGAAAUACCCUGAGUUUUAGAGGGGCUGAGAAACCUUAGAUCCUAUUGAAGGCAAUGGAGUUACUCCAGAUUUACACCAGCUUCUCUGAGAGCAGAAUCUGGCCCUGAACCUUUCUGCCUUGGAGGCAUGGCCAAGAGCCAAUGAACUGAGUACAUUUGCUCUGGACGCCACCCAGUUUUGUCACUGUUCUCACUCAUUAACUCAGCAAUAGAAGAAGAGAACUUGCUGCUUUUGUGUGCUGGUUUACAAAGAUACGGACUGGCAGCUCUUUGCCUGGGAUAUUACAAAUUGCUAUGAGCAUGGGGAAGGCUGCUGUGCCCCAAGAUCUGGAGCAGGAAAGUUCCAGGCAACACCCGCAGCUGUCAUCUGGCUUUGAUAGCCAUCCUCUAGGAGAGCCAGAGUGGAGAGAUGAUGACGAAUAAAAUCUCCCCAAGGAGGAGGAGGAGGAAAUCUGCCACUGGAAGAAGGAGCUAGGAAUGAGUUGUCUGCCUCUCCCAGCGCCCCUGUGGUAUUGAGCUGUGAAUGGAAGAGACAGCACUGAGGCUUGUAUGAAAUAGAGGGCUAGUCAACAGUCGAUUGACAAGGCAUCCCCACUUCUGAGGAUGGCAGCGCCUGCUGCCUCUAGGAUGCUUUGCAUCCACACACGGCUUUCCCCUGGUGGGAUGUCACCUCCUUUGAGUGGAGCAAAGACUCAUUCCCACCUUCUGCAGUGUCCCAUCAGGGUGGGUGGGAGCACUCUGGUGAUUGCAGCUGCAUCAGGCAGUUGAUCCUCCCAACUGCAUCUACAAAAUCACAGGGCACUUCCCUUCUCAGCAGGACUGCGAGCGGCCAAGGCACUGAUGUUGCUGCUCUUGGGCCUUCAGAACAUGCCCCCUUCCCAUUCAAACAGGCUUGAGAGGGAGAAAAGAGCCUGAGCUCCCCCUCUGCUACCGCCUGCAGCAACAGGGGCUGGGGUGCUCAGGAAAGAACCAAUUAGUGGCGCAAACUACUGGAAUGGUCAAUAGCAUCCAGUCUAAUGGAGGUUUAAUAAUAUCUCCCUCCUGUCCUCUUCUCUUUCCAUCCCAAUUUGAGAUGUGAGGGUCUCUUUUCUUAUUGUAGUUUAAUGAAUAAAUGACAUGAAUCUAGCUUCUCCUUAAUUUUGCUGAUUUCCUAAUCUCUCUCUAGAGAUCAGCACCAGGAAUUAUGGCAAAGAUGCUGCCUCAGGCAUCCCACUAAGAAAUCCAUGUGUGGAAAACAGGCAGUUACUGGCUAAAUCUUGCCCCUCCCUGGCAAACAGACUAGAACCCUGGUCCUUCAGCUCCAAAAACAUUAGCUUCUGUUCUUUGAUCUAAAGGAAGUUUCCUUGAACAGAUAGUAAUUCCUUUAUCCUCACUAUGGGGUGUAGCCAUUAAGGGGUGACUUCACACAAUAUAUGACCUCCUGGGAGGGAGAGGAGAUUGGGGCAGGGGGGAAGUGCCAACCCUUGGUUUACUUCCUGGUGGCCCCUAGUUUAUCCUUAGAUAUCCAAUCUCCAGACAGUGCCCCAGUUAGGGAUUCCCCCAGGCAGCACCUAGGCCCCAGUUUACCUCCAGACACUUAGAUGCCACCAGCUUCCCUCUCAGACACCCCAUCUGAUCCCCACAAACACUACUCCGCAGCAGCCACCCCAAGCUUUCCAUCCAUCUACCCAGUGCCCCCAGCACUCAACACAGCUGCCAAAACGUCAUGUCCUACCCCCUUUCAGUGGUUGGGGCAAGAUGUACUGACCGCGGGCUGGAAUUUGCAGAUAUGAAAAUUAGCUAAGUUACAUAAUGCCACAUGCACAGAAUUUGGCAACUAUGCAUGGGGGUUUAGAUGAAUGACCUACCAGUCCUCUUGGAACAAUCCCCAAAGCCAGGACUCCAACAAAGUGCCUGCUGUGUACUGAUGAUCUGGACAUACUAUCACGGACACCAAAGGGUCUCUACAGAAAUUUACACCACUUAGAAACAUAGCCCCUACCAGCUAUGGAAAAAACAAACAUUAUGGUAUUUCAGAAGAAUCUCCAAAACAGUCAGGUUUUAUUACAGAGACAAGAAAAUUGGACACACUCUAAAUGAUACAUACCGGGCCCUCAUAAAUCCAUCAGGAAACUUCAGAUUAGCUAGCAGAGCCCUACAGGACAAGGUUCUACAAGUCUUCUAUGCCAUAAAGAAACCACUGAAUAUAUACAACCUCCCCAAUAAAACUACCUGACCGCAUAAUCCAACCAUUUUACUACAGGGAAAUGAAGCCUGAAGCCCAAUUCUAAGAGCCAACUACAGUGACUGGGAUAAAAUCCUCCACCUGCAGUUCUGCAAACAUACGCCACAGGCACGGGAACUCCAGCAGUAAUAGCUGCAGACCAGAACUAGACCAAGUUCCCUGGAAAUCGGCAUCCAGAAAAGAAUAUUCAACUUCUGAUGCCACUUCCUGGAAAGCACCAAACACUCCUCACAUUGCAAAAUACUAGGGGGAUCAAAAACUAAAUCCAAAUGAAAUUAUCCACAUCUUAUAUCUUUGCUCCCCAGGAUCAACAAUUCCAACCACCUAGCCAAUGGAGCAAACAAUUAAAACGGAAAUGUGAUCAACAUGUCAGACCAGUACUACCUCAAACACCACUGGACAAGGCACGGGAAAGAACAAAUCAAAAGUUUGACUCCAGCAGGUACUAUGAUACAGGGCCAGGCAAAACUAACACAGAUUCUCUCCAAAUACAGAACCAGUGACCACUUGAGGUGGAAAUCCGAAGUUCCGAAGUCCAGCCUUAACCCAUGAUGUCCACAUGACACAGGAGAGAUUGGGACAGCUGUCCCAAUAUGCCAGUGUCCCAAAUAUGAAGGUGUGAGAAAGUUUAAGGAAAGCUAUCAGGAACCCUAAAAGAUGUCUCAUCAAAAACGAAUGAAGAAAAACUAACUGCUCCUGGAAGAAAGGGCAGAGACAGUAUGGGGUGACAAGCCACCAGAUUAGGGAUGGACAAUAAUGAUAAAGGAACACAGGUGAUCACAUCCCAAACAGCGUGUGUGGCCCCUAUGCUGUGUUGGCUGUCACCCAACCCUGACAGAUAUCUGAGGGGCCUGUUUUCCCCCUCCACUGGCAACAUUUGUGUAGCUCCACAUGCCAGUCUAGCUCCACAUGUCAGUGAAAACUCAUUGAAUUGUACCCAGUGGAGCUGGGCUCUGAUGGGGAAGAAAGAGGGAGAUAAGGGGGUCCCAGUGCAGGGGGUGAUGUAGAGGUUGUGACCCCCACCACUGUACAAAGUGCUAGCCAAGCAUAGGGGUGUACCUG
Non-coding RNA from Chrysemys picta bellii (western painted turtle), 3769 nucleotides. The record is from RefSeq and is a predicted model, not a curated record. Lineage: Eukaryota; Metazoa; Chordata; Testudines; Emydidae.